RNAcentral lists this unclassified non-coding RNA (376 nucleotides) under soil metagenome. RNAcentral's name for it is "partial contains 5.8S ribosomal RNA, internal transcribed spacer 2, and large subunit ribosomal RNA". The stretch from base 1 to 120 matches the Rfam family "5.8S ribosomal RNA", at positions 35 to 154 of the family's 154-position model. The record is from RNAcentral.
GAUGAAGAACGUAGCGAAAUGCGAUAAGUAAUGUGAAUUGCAGAAUUCAGUGAAUCAUCGAAUCUUUGAACGCAUCUUGCGCUCCUUGGUAUUCUGAGGAGCAUGCCUGUUUGAGUGUCAUUAAAUUCUCAACUACACUGACUUUGAAUUGGUGUGGCUUGGAUUUGGGGGGAAAAUUGUUGUGGGCUUUUUGUAUAGUCUGCUCCCCUGAAAUUGAUUAGCGGUACCUUUGUGGAACUGUCUACAGGUGUGAUAAUUAUCUACAUCUUAGACAUCUGCUGGAAUGCUGCUUUCUAAACCUUACUUGUAAUGACAAUCUUGACCUCAAAUCAGGUAGGACUACCCGCUGAACUUAAGCAUAUCAAUAAGCGGAGGA